Molecule: long non-coding RNA, 783 nt
Organism: Prunus dulcis (almond)
Lineage: Eukaryota; Viridiplantae; Streptophyta; Magnoliopsida; Rosales; Rosaceae
Exons: 5
Source: RefSeq, a predicted model, not a curated record
UGAUAACCUUAGGUUUGAAGCCUCAAGCUCCUCUCCUGUUUCAAACCACCAUCUUUCCUUUGUUCUCUCCCUUCUUCCCUCUCUAUGCCUUCAAAGUAAACCAAACAAUUUCAAAGCCAUGGACCAACACAAGACCGACGACAAUCUCCGUUACGUAGGUGGCCUCACACGUGUUCUCGCCGCCGAUGCCUCCAUUUCCUUUGCAGAUCCGUCCUGUGUUCCCGAUUUUCAACCUGAAUCUCUUGUUCGUAGAUGUCGACGACGAUGAUUUUUCCAUAGCCAAAGGGGCUGCCGCUUUGGAUGAUCUAACUGAUGAUGAUAUUCGAAUGGCUAUUCAAAUGCUUAUGGUGCAAGAAAUGCUUUAUUUGUGCCUGAGGUCCCAUUUGAAUUUUUAGUUAGGAGACAAAUUGCUCGUCUGUUAGACCCAAGCCUUUAGUGUCUUCGAUUUGUUUAUGAUGAACUAAUGAAGAUAAGCCACGCUUGUGAGGUAAUUGAGUUGCAAAGAUUUCCAGUAUUGAGAAAGCAUCUGGAUGAAGUCAUGGUAAAAUUUUUGCACGAUGGUGUAGAACCUGCUGAGAGAAUGAUAGGAAAUCUUAUUGAGAUGGAGAGGUUUGAUGGAGAAUGAAGGGUCGUGGGGACAGACCCUUGGUUUUCGUGAUUUUUUAUUUUAUUUUAUUUUAAGUUCGGGUUUUUUCAAAAAAAUCUAAUAUGGACUCGCUGGGCUUGUUAUGGGUUCUUUUGGUUUGUGUUGGACUUGUUUUAAGUUAAUCAAUGGCAGAGAUG